RNAcentral lists this ribosomal RNA (145 nucleotides) under uncultured Tetragenococcus sp. Its description in RNAcentral is "partial 16S ribosomal RNA". It matches the Rfam family "Bacterial small subunit ribosomal RNA", at positions 335 to 477 of the family's 1533-position model. Lineage: Bacteria; Bacillati; Bacillota; Bacilli; Lactobacillales; Enterococcaceae. The record is from RNAcentral.
ACUCCUACGGGACUCAGCAGUAGGGAAUCUUCGGCAAUGGACGAAAGUCUGACCGAGCAACGCCGCGUGAGUGAAGAAGGUCUUCGGAUCGUAAAGCUCUGUUGUCAGCGCAAGAACAGGAAAAAGAGUGACUAAUGCUUUUCGA